This 468-nucleotide ribosomal RNA is filed under the name uncultured bacterium. RNAcentral's name for it is "partial 16S ribosomal RNA". It matches the Rfam family "Bacterial small subunit ribosomal RNA", at positions 28 to 507 of the family's 1533-position model. The record is from RNAcentral.
GACGAACGCUGGCGGCGUGCUUAACACAUGCAAGUCGAACGGAAAGGCCCUGCUUUUGUGGGGUUCUCGAGUGCCGAACGCGUGAGUAACACGUGAGUAACCUGCCCUUGACUUUGGGAUAACUUCAGGAAACUGGGGCUAAUACAGGAUAGGAGAUCCUGCUGCAUGUUGGUGAAUGGAAAGUUUCGGCGGUUGGGGAUGGACUGGCGGCUUAUCAGCUUGUUGGUCGGGUAGUGGCUUACCAAGGCUUUGAAGGGUAGGCGGCCUUAGAGGUUGAACGGCGACAUGGCGACUGAGAUACGGAGCAGAAGGGAAUGGGAGGCAGUAGGGGGGAAUAUUGCGCAAUGGGCGGAAGCCUGAUACAGAAACGCCGCGUGCGUAAUGCUGGCUUUCGAGUUGUAAACCGAUUUGGCAUGUGAUGAAGAGGGAGUGACGGUAAUGGGUAAAGAAGCACCGGCUAACUACGUG